UACGUAGGGGGCAAGCGUUGUCCGGAUUCAUUGGGCGUAAAGAGCGUGUAGGCGGCCAGGUAGGUCGGUUGUGAAAACUGGAGGCUCAACCUUCAGACGUCGACCGAAACCAUCUGGCUAGAGUCCGGGAGAGGAGAGUGGAAUUCCUGGUGUAGCGGUGAAAUGCGCAGAUAUCAGGAAGAACACCCGUGGCGAAAGCGGCUCUCUGGAACGGUACUGACGCUGAGACGCGAAAGCAUGGGGAGCGAACAGG
RNAcentral lists this ribosomal RNA (253 nucleotides) under uncultured bacterium. RNAcentral describes it as "partial 16S ribosomal RNA". It matches the Rfam family "Bacterial small subunit ribosomal RNA", at positions 524 to 776 of the family's 1533-position model. The record is from RNAcentral.